Molecule: ribosomal RNA, 499 nt
Filed under: uncultured bacterium
Lineage: Bacteria
Description: partial 16S ribosomal RNA
Rfam family: Bacterial small subunit ribosomal RNA
Source: RNAcentral
GACGAACGCUGGCGGCGUGCCUAAUACAUGCAAGUCGAGCGGACUGAAUGGGAGCUUGCUCUUGUUCGGUCAGCGGCGGACGGGUGAGUAACACGUGGGCAACCUGCCCGCAAGACCGGGAUAACUCCGGGAAACCGGAGCUAAUACCGGAUAACACCGAAGACCGCAUGGUCUUUGGUUGAAAGGCGGCGCAAGCUGCCACUUGCGGAUGGGCCCGCGGCGCAUUAGCUAGUUGGUGAGGUAACGGCUCACCAAGGCGACGAUGCGUAGCCGGCCGGAGAGGGUGACCGGCCACACUGGGACUGAGACACGGCCCAGACUCCUACGGGAGGCAGCAGUAGGGAAUCUUCCGCAAUGGGCGAAAGCCUGACGGAGCGACGCCGCGUGAGCGAAGAAGGCCUUCGGGUCGUAAAGCUCUGUUGUGAGGGACGAAGGAGCGCCGUUUGAAGAAGGCGGCGCGGUGACGGUACCUCACGAGGAAGCCCCGGCUAACUACGUG